GACAGAGGGUGCAAACGUUGUUCGGAAUUACUGGGCGUAAAGCGCGUGUAGGCUGCUUCGCAAGUCGGAUGUGAAAGCCCUGGGCUCAACCCAGGAAGUGCAUUCGAAACUGCAGAGCUGGAGUCCUGGAGAGGAAGGCGGAAUUCUCGGUGUAGAGGUGAAAUUCGUAGAUAUCGAGAGGAACACCGGUGGCGAAGGCGGCCUUCUGGACAGUGACUGACGCUGAGGCGCGAAAGCUAGGGGAGCAAACAGG
Molecule: ribosomal RNA, 253 nt
Filed under: uncultured bacterium
Lineage: Bacteria
Description: partial 16S ribosomal RNA
Rfam family: Bacterial small subunit ribosomal RNA
Source: RNAcentral